Molecule: small nucleolar RNA, 95 nt
Organism: Myxocyprinus asiaticus (Chinese sucker)
Lineage: Eukaryota; Metazoa; Chordata; Actinopteri; Cypriniformes; Catostomidae
Product: small nucleolar RNA U13
Exons: 1
Source: RefSeq, a predicted model, not a curated record
AUCCUUCUGGUUCAGACAAAUGAUGAUUGGUUAGGUCACGUCUUUACGUGACAUGUGCUACCUCCUUGUUACGCAAGCACAUUGACCAUCUGAUA